RNAcentral lists this ribosomal RNA (487 nucleotides) under uncultured bacterium. RNAcentral describes it as "partial 16S ribosomal RNA". It matches the Rfam family "Bacterial small subunit ribosomal RNA", at positions 28 to 523 of the family's 1533-position model. The record is from RNAcentral.
GAUGAACGCUGGCGGCGUGCCUAAUACAUGCAAGUCGUGCGGCAGCGGGCCCUUCGGGGUGCCGGCGAGCGGCGGACGGCUGAGUAACGCGUAGGAACGUGCCCCAAAGUGAGGGAUAACCUCGAGAAAUCGAGGCUAAUACCGCAUGUUAUCUUCGGAUUAACGCUUUAUGUGCUUUGGGAGCGGCCUGCGUCCGAUUAGCUUGUUGGUGAGGUAAUGGCUCACCAAGGCGACGAUCGGUAGCUGGUCUGAGAGGAUGAUCAGCCAGACUGGAACUGAGACACGGCCCAGACUCCUACGGGAGGCAGCAGUGGGGAAUUUUGGACAAUGGGCGCAAGCCUGAUCCAGCAAUGCCGCGUGUGCGAAGAAGGCCUUCGGGUUGUAAAGCACUUUUGUCAGGAAAGAAAACCAUUGGGUUAAUACCCUAGUGGGAUGACGGUACCUGAAGAAUAAGCACCGGCUAACUACGUGCCAGCAGCCGCGGUAA